AUUAGUGCAAUUCCUCAAGUUUUUUUUUCCUGUUUAGGCUAGCCAGUUGUAAGUGAGCAUGUGGACUUCACAGGAGAAAACACGAUGUCUUCCGUGGUUCAUAAUGAGCAAAUUGGAAACACAGGUUCAAUGGAACUUCCGGACCAAAUUUCAAGGAAUUCCGACCACCAUCCGUGCAUGGCACACUAGCUUCAUAACCACAGGCUCUGUGUUUCAUAAGAAAGGAGCAGGACGACCCAGAAUAAGUGUUGAAAACGUUGAGCGGGUAUGUGAAACGUAUGUUACAGCAUAACUGGCAAGAAGCAUUCCCUGGGCAAUCCGAAAAAUUCAAUUCGUUCGGAUGCUAGGCAAUUGCAAAUACCCAGAUCCAGAGUCCACAUGGUGCUUCACAAACGGUUGCGUCUCUAUGCCUAUAAGGUACAGCUGUAGCGGGCAAUGUUACCAACAGACAAACCAGUAUGUGCGGAGUUUGCCAUAGAGAUGUUACACCGUAUGGGUGAAGAUGAAGGGUUCUUAAAACAGGUGUGCUUUAUUGAAACAGGUGAAGAUGAAGGGUUCUUGAAACAGGUGUGCUUUAUUGAAACAGAUGAAGAUGAAGGGUUCUUGAAACAGGUGUGCUUUAGUGAUGAGGCAACAUUUCAUAUGUCUGGCCAAUUAAACUGACAUUACAUACGAAUAAGGGGUUCGUAAAUCCCACAUGAAACACUAGAAAUUGAAAGAAACAGCCAAAAGGUCAAUGCCUGGUCUGAUGCACAAUCGAAUCAUUGGGCAUUUUUUCUUCAUUAAUGGCGUUUUUUCUUCGUUAAUGUUAAAAGAGUUAAUGAUGGCAUGUAUAUGGAUAUGCUUCACCUCUUUGCUCUUCCUCAGUUGGAGGGUUUGCAGCCUAAUGUUUGGUUCCACUCCAUCACUCUGGUUUAGAGCAAUUUGUGAUCAAAUAGACGAAAAACCUUCCCCACCGAUGGAUUGGACGGGUUGGCCUAAUUGCAUGGCCACCAAGGUCUCCGGACAUCAUACCCCUUAACUUCUUUCUGUGGAAUUAUUCGAAGGAUGCUGUUUACCGUACACAGGUUUCUGACAUUGCUGAUUUAAAACGACGCAUUACAGAUGUUUUUACGGCUGUCACAGACGAGAUGUUACAGCAUAACUGGCAAGAAGUUGAAUGCAGACUGGAUGUGCUUAGGGCCACAAAUGGUGCACAGGUUGAGGUGUAUCCAUGAACAGAAACAAAACUUGAUGAGUUGCACUGACUGCAGAAAACAGAAAAUGAAUAAUCUGGUGAUUAUUAUUAUGAAGACUUCGUCAAACUGGACUGAAAUAGCACUUUGUAGUUUUAUCGUAUCAUCGCUCGUCAUCUGCAUAAUGAUAAUAUUACUGAAAAUACUUCAUGAAAGAAGAAAAUUAAAUAUCUUAGCUUUCGACAGUGAACAAGAUUGAAGAAACUAUAUUUUCCUUUCUACUUUUUCAACUUUAUCUUCCUUUCUACGUUAGAAGACACUUUUAUAAUUUUAUUCCAUUCUGAUGUUUUACUUAUUAUUUUAUAUUAUGUUUACCUAUUCAUCAAACUGCCAAAAAAUUGUAUUAAAGAAAGGAAAUUAUUGUUAAAUAUUUAAUUUAUACUCUAAUGUUUAUUUAUUAUUUCGUUAACUUUAAAUUUUUGGAGGUUUACUUAUUUAUAUACAAAUUUAACUAGUAUUUAUUUACUAAUAUGAUAGUACACAAUGUAUGUUACCGUCGUUCAUGAAAGUUGGUGAAGAUCCUGCCACACUUGCGCCGCUGAUUUCGGCAGUUGUUUUAAGAACAGAUCACUCUUCGACUACCGUAAAUAAAAGUUACGAAAUCUCUUCCUAUCUCAGUGAUUUACGUACCCUUUGUUUGAUGCCAGGCUUCCGUUACUUUGAAAAUAUUCUACUAUAUGCUGUUUUACGGAAGGCAGGUUCCAUUUAAUAACUUUUUCAAAAUACGAGGGAUGGACAGAGAAAUAGUGAUUAACUUAUAUCAUUUCUUACAAAAACUAUAUUCCCUUUUCGAGGAUUGAUAGCGGUUACAUAAACGACUACGAUUCGUUAUCAUUACCGAACUAUUGCAAAAAGCAAUUUUGCCGGUUCCUUGAAUUAAACCCAGAGGCACAUGACAUAAAAGUUCCGGACGUGGGAAUUUCUGAAGAGAAAUCGAGGGCAAGAGAAAGGAAAGAAGAAAAGGGGGAGGCAACCAAAUGGUCAGAAAGCCAAAACUAAGAAUCUGUUAUAAUAUCCUCAGAACUGGACGAGGGACGAAAUAAAAUACCAGACAUAGAUAUCCAUAUACAAAUACUAUCUACAAAAAUCGACAUACAAGGUACAAUCAAGAUACAAUGUGCGAGAUGCAACAAACUCUAUAAAAGUUAUACAAAUACAAGAUGCAAUACAAGCCAAGAAAACAAGUUAAAAAAUUAAAAACUACUAAUUAUUAAAUCAGAGGCAACCAACUUUGAGGAGUUUAAGUAACGAGAUUUUGAUAGCCAUCGAUUAUAGUAUGUGGUGCAAGAGGCCUAAUUGUUUUGUCAUCAUGAAGAAUCUCAUAACUAAAUACUUGAGAGUAGUUCACAAAGUCGCAGGAGAUUUCCUUAUUAAAGAAUUUCGUCUAAUGAAUUGAGCAACAGACUCAAUUUUAAAAUCACUGUGAACAGUUACAUAAACCGAUAUUAAUUACCAAUAUUGAUUUAUGGCUGGUUCAUCGCCACCAGCUCAAUUGAAGUAUUGUGUUCAAGGUAUUGUGUUCAAGGGACGGAGACUUGGUGACGGGAAGUAGAAGAAAGUGACACGUUGUCAUCAUGAAGAGACAAUCAGUAGUGUUUGUUUAUCGAAAACGGCCGACUGGAAAGGAAAGUAUCAAUAAGGGUACUUUUUUUUAAUGAAUUGGAUCGUUUACCUUAUUACGUAUGAGUUACGCCUAAUUUUUUUUCAAAUUUAUCUUAAUUACUGGGAAAAUAAGUUAUACGAGUCUGUACAAAAGCUUUCUACAGUUGAUUUUAAUUUCCUUGCAUUUUUCGGCAAUCUGCAUGAAUUUGCUGAAGAAAUUAUUUAUUUUUCAUUAACUUUUAAGUUAUUCUUCGACUUGUUCGGAGUUUUACUUUGUUCAUGUUAGAGAGAACACUGUGCUUGUGCAGCGAAAUUUUCUUUAGGUGCUGGGAUAUUACGAUUCCGAGUAUCAUUGGCAUCACAUUUCAUCGGUCUCCCAAGGGAACUUUAUAUCUUCUUUCCAGACGCUAAUUGGAAUAAAAUUUACAUUUCUUCGAAAAAGCCACGUGAGCCAGCUUACAGAGGAUGCAUGUAGGCUUCUUUUCUUUAGAAAUAGUAUAUGUAUAGGCCAGGUAAUCCUGAGUACACUUCAUACAUGAUUGUCGCAGAUCUGACCAUGGCCAAAUCUCUGACAACGAAAUCAAAUCAUGGCGUUUCCGCCCCGAUUUGUAACGUCUAAUUCUGACAUGCAGUUCCAAAACCGUCUUCUACGAGUAGAUGCUUUUGCGUUUAUCUGUUCUUAUCACCGAAGCAAAAAAUACAGAAAAUUUGUCAUGGUGUCUUGAAUUUUCUCUGUAACUUGAGUAAUUUUUAUAGGAAGUCCUUUGGCAAGAAGUUCCGUUUCAGUUUCCUUGGGGUCAGAAUCAGCUGGUAAUAUACAACCUUGAUAUGUGUCUCAGAGAAAGUUUCGUAUCUCUUGCCAAGUGACCUCUCUCGGACAGAGCAGAGGGGGCAGUCUUUCUUUUUCUAGUUUAGUCAAUGGUAUUAGAAGUGACAAUCAUGUGCAAGAUUUCCAAAUUUCAUUUUUGUCUUGGCACUCCAUUUUAUUAUCAUCAGGACUGACAACAUUUAAGUUUUCGAACUGGUUUAGACACUGGCUCAGGAAUAGCAAUUUGAUGUCUUCUGGGUGAAUUUUGCGGAGUAAUAUAUAUGCACAAAUUAGAUGUUUUUCUGUAUUAUUUCGUAAACUACUGGAAAAAGAACUAAAUGCGUAGAGGUUUUUAAAAAUCGAAUGGAAUUUAUGCCUUUUAUUAGGAAGCAAAUUCUAUCAAUAGCUAGUAAAAUUUUGGAGCAAUCCAAAAGCAAAAUUUCCAUUUUGCUUAAUAAUUGCAUACAUUUAUAGAUUUUUCCAAUCGCAGAUAAGUUGAGGGAUAAAUGUUCGCAGGUUUGAUAAUAAAAGAUUCUUGAAACUACGCUUUUACUUUUUGCAGCAGGGUUUUUAAUUAAAAAAAUGGAUUAGCUGUGAGAAUUUAAAUAAUGAUCAUCCGAAAAUGAACACCUUUUUUUAUACUUCACAAGUAUUAAAACUAUUAUUGUUUAACAAAUUAAAAGUUAUGAUUGACCUUGAGAUAUUCAAAUUUUUCAGUAAACUAACAAGAUUAGAUGCAAUUGCGAAGGAUAUAAAUCCUUCUUUUUUCUUCGGAUAAUGUGAUUAGAUAAUUAUUAUAUGCACUAAUGAUAAAAACUAAAUAUAGUAGAAGACCUGAUGCAUUAAUUCCAUCGAUAAUAUGCUUAAGUGUUUAACUAUUGCAUAAUGAAAAAAAUUUUUUUAUUCUUUAUUUUCUUUUUUUUCUUCAUGUCUGCUUGAUUAAACUUAUGAUAAAAGAAUCUGGUACUUUAUCUUUUUAUACCAAUAUAGAAAAAUAAAAUCAUACAAUGCAUUAAAAGACGCAGACGUUAGAUUUUUAAACUAAAAAGAAUACUUUGAUUUAUUAAAAUUUUUUAAAAAUUGCAUUCCAUCUUUUUUAAUUUUAAAAAUUAUGCUUCAAUUGUUUCUUAAAAUAGAUAAACAAAGAAGACAAAAGCAGCUGUUUAAUACAGCUUAAAGAUAUUAAUGUUACAAAAUUUUGCGAAAUAACGUAAACUCAACUUCAGUGAAUAAAAUGGUAUUUUUAACCUCG
Molecule: long non-coding RNA, 4897 nt
Filed under: Stegodyphus dumicola
Lineage: Eukaryota; Metazoa; Arthropoda; Arachnida; Araneae; Eresidae
Description: uncharacterized LOC118194426
Source: RNAcentral